This 406-nucleotide ribosomal RNA is filed under the name uncultured bacterium. RNAcentral's name for it is "bacterial SSU rRNA". It matches the Rfam family "Bacterial small subunit ribosomal RNA", at positions 976 to 1372 of the family's 1533-position model. The record is from RNAcentral.
AUCCCUUGACAUCCUGCGAACUUUCUAGAGAUAGAUUGGUGCCUUCGGGAACGCAGUGACAGGUGCUGCAUGGCUGUCGUCAGCUCGUGUCGUGAGAUGUUGGGUUAAGUCCCGCAACGAGCGCAACCCUUAUCUUUAGUUGCUACCAUUUAGUUGAGAACUCUAAAGAGACUGCCGGUGAUAAACCGGAGGAAGGCGGGGACGACGUCAAGUCAUCAUGGCCCUUAUGGGAUGGGCUACACACGUGCUACAAUGGAGGGUACAAAGAGCAGCCAACUGGCGACAGUGCGCGAAUCUCAUAAAACCCUUCGUAGUCCGGAUCGGAGUCUGCAACUCGACUCCGUGAAGUCGGAAUCGCUAGUAAUCGUGAAUCAGAAUGUCACGGUGAAUACGUUACGCGGGCACU